Molecule: ribosomal RNA, 379 nt
Filed under: uncultured eukaryote
Lineage: Eukaryota
Description: partial 18S ribosomal RNA
Rfam family: Eukaryotic small subunit ribosomal RNA
Source: RNAcentral
CGAUAGCGUAUAUUAAAGUUGUUGCGGUUAAAAAGCUCGUAGUUGGAUUUCUGCUGAGAACGACCGGUCCGCCCUUUGGGUGUGUAUCUGGCUCUUUCUUGGCAUCUUCUUGGUGAACGUUGCUGCACUUGACUGUGUGGAGCGCUACCCAGGACUUUUACUUUGAGGAAAUUAGAGUGUUUCAAGCAGGCAUACGCCUUGAAUACAUUAGCAUGGAAUAAUAAGAUAGGACCUCGGUUCUAUUUUGUUGGUUUCUAGAGCUGAGGUAAUGAUUAAUAGGGAUAGUUGGGGGCAUUCGUAUUUAACUGUCAGAGGUGAAAUUCUUGGAUUUGUUAAAGACGGACUACUGCGAANGNAUUUGCNAAGGAUGUUUNCAUUG